UUUAAGGGGCUGUGAGCUCUUCACAUAGGAAGGGAAGAGCGAUCCAGCUGCAGUUUUCUGCAGCACCCCCCAGUAUGUGGGUUAAAACGGAAGAGCAGUCACAGCCCCAGAGCACCCAGCAGAGAUUUCCUGUUUCUCUGCCAAGCCAUGGUAGGGUUUCAAACCAAAAUAAAAGAAUUUAAUGAGUCCAUAGCAAAGGAAAUUCAGCUAAGUGCAGCAUGAUUAGGAUGCUAGUGCUAAUCUUUAAAAGUGAUAGUAUUUGAUCAAGGAAGAUGUCCUCCAAAACUGAUCUUAAAGUUGCAAUAAAAAAAUUCUGGCUAUAGAGCUGGAGAGUGAAGGGUGCUUGGGGGGAGCUCUCCCAGUCGGUAACAUUUCCUUCUGAACAUGACUUAUUGUAGUGCCAGUUGUGUAAUAACUAUCUUACAGUUUAUCACUACUGCCAAGAGCUGACUUUACAGCAGCAAGAAACCACAUGUUGAAGGUUUGAUGGCUGCAUUUCAUUCAGGAGAUUAUGAAACCUCCCCCUCUCUUUAUUUUUUUAAUAAGUGGGAAACUAAGAAAAUCACAAGUGAGAAGUGUGGUACCCAGGAAUGAAAUGUCUCCAAGUAACAGAAAAGUAACCGGAGAGGCUUUGAGAAGCUGCACUGGUGAGGAAAUCCCAAAGGCUGAGGCUCAGCCAGCACCAGCAUCCAGCUGCAAAGAGGGCACAGAAGUCACACACUGGCAAUGCAUGAGGGGAGGAAGAGGAUGGAGUCAGGUGCUGGGAGGGCCAGGCACCAGCAAGAGGCCAGCAGGGUCACUCGGCAUAGCCCAGACUUUGCUCACCAGCGUGUUUUGGACUCAUUAUGUCUACAUGUAGCGGGCAGAGGAAAUAUUUCUGGGAGUGCACCAAGUGGCAAGGGUGCAUGAGGCGGGAUUUCCCUCUCCUGGGCCUGAGAUGGGGAAGGCAAACAAGGACACCUCCAGUGCUGUGCUGGGUGUGGAACGCCUUAACCAUUUAGAGAUGAUUUCUCUUUGAUAGGAUGAGUUGCAAAUCAUUUCAAAUCUUUCCUGAUUAUGUCUUUUAUUACUUUUUUAGUGAGAACAGGUGAAAUUUUGCAGUGUGGUUGUCUAAACAGAAAAAAUCUGUUCACACACCUCCUAGAACUCUAGGAAAACAAGCUUAAGAAAAAAUGGUACAUUUAACGUAAACUGCUCUGCUCACUGUAAGACUCAGGCCCAGAGCUCAUGCUUAUGUCAUGGGCCACCAGAAGCUGAGGCCAGUGCUGGGGGGAGGCUGCAGGUCACCGGGUGGCUGUGGGUGCCAGCAAGCAGACACGGUGCUCCUCAGUACUGCUCAGCACUGCCAGCGUGCUGUUGGGAAAUGGCUAGCACUGCCACACCUUCACAGACCUGCAGUGAAACCGCUGUCCCUGCAUGCCCUGAGCCAGAGCAGUAUUUUGAGCCUGGACUGCUAAAUGGUGAACAUCCUCUUUACCUCCUCCACACAAUGAUUUAUGCAAUUAUGUCCUAUAAGGACACUCCAAACAGACAAAUUAUUAUGAGCACAUGCAGUGCCCUGGAUGACCCGAGUGAAAUCAUCACAGCAGGCUUUUAUUCUGUUACUCAGGGGCGUUUAAUACUCCUUUUCACACUAGACAGCAAAUGGGAGCUACAGCAAUUUUCAUCCUGCUGCUGAAAUGCAGCAUUGCUAAUGUGUGCUGUGCCAUGCAAACCUUACCAGGCUGAUUCUGAACUUGGAGUGAACCUGGUUCAGCUGCACCUUCAUGCUCUGUGUUAUCAAAAAAAAAAAAAAUUGCUAGGCAGCAGUGCCACAUGACCUGGUAUUUUAAGGAGAUGGCCAUCAAUGAAAAUGACUAAUGAAGAAAAAAGCUUCUUCCAAAUCUCUUCACUAUGUGUUGAUUCUUUUAUAUGUUCUCAAACUAUUUUUUUUCCCUGUUGCUAAUGAGCACUUGAGAAUUUGAUUUAGCUCUCUGGAAUGACUGCCACUCACUGCUAGAAUGUUAAUCUGCCUAAACCCAUUCAGCUCCACUUACUUGGAAGUCAAUCACCUGGAGCCUGCAUUUCAAAGAGAUGCUGGCUAAUGUAGUCACAACAGAAGAGGUGUUCUGGGACAACUCUCACAGCCGGGAGUAAUCUUGGAGGGUCGAGGCUACCAGACAGCAAACAGAUUGGUGUUGAUUCCCCACGAUAAACGGCAGGAGUCAUUGCUGAUGGAGAUUGGGAGCAUGAAUGCCGGGCAGACGGGAGGCUGGUUAGCUGCAAACACAGCGCUGCAGACCACAGAAGGGAUGCAGCACUUGCGUGAUGCGUUGGGCAAACAAGCACAAUGGGCAUGGCUGGAGCUGAAGCUUUAAGGUGUUGGAGGAGGAGUCUGGCUGUCCAGAAGUAAUUAAAGAACUGAUUUAUUUUGUCUUGUACUGUCUGUGUUUUUGAUUUUGUUUUGUUUUGUUUCUUAACCCUUAACCCUCUGUAUAGAGCUGGAGAAAAUGCUACCUUGAAUAAAGUCUGAUACUAAAUGUGGGAGACGUGGAUG
This 2536-nucleotide long non-coding RNA is filed under the name Numida meleagris (helmeted guineafowl). RNAcentral's name for it is "lncRNA (ENSNMEG00000017966.1)". Lineage: Eukaryota; Metazoa; Chordata; Aves; Galliformes; Numididae. The record is from RNAcentral.